Molecule: unclassified non-coding RNA, 161 nt
Filed under: rhizosphere metagenome
Description: partial ribosomal RNA internal transcribed spacer region
Source: RNAcentral
GUAGGUGAACCUGCGGAAGGAUCAUUACCGAUUUUUAGCGGACCUGAUCUUGGUCAUGGUCUCGCGAAAAACUUGUAUUUAAAACCCCACUCUUAUAAAUUGAAUCAUUUUAUUAUAAUAAUAAAUAAAGAUCACUUUCAACAACGGAUCUCUUGGCUCUC